Molecule: transfer RNA, 76 nt
Filed under: Pristimantis incertus
Lineage: Eukaryota; Metazoa; Chordata; Amphibia; Anura; Strabomantidae
Description: tRNA-Val
Rfam family: tRNA
About the family: Transfer RNA (tRNA) molecules are approximately 80 nucleotides in length. Their secondary structure includes four short double-helical elements and three loops (D, anti-codon, and T loops). Further hydrogen bonds mediate the characteristic L-shaped molecular structure. tRNAs have two regions of fundamental functional importance: the anti-codon, which is responsible for specific mRNA codon recognition, and the 3' end, to which the tRNAs corresponding amino acid is attached (by aminoacyl-tRNA synthetases). tRNAs cope with the degeneracy of the genetic code in two manners: having more than one tRNA (with a specific anti-codon) for a particular amino acid; and 'wobble' base-pairing, i.e. permitting non-standard base-pairing at the 3rd anti-codon position.
Source: RNAcentral
UAGAAUAUAGCUUAAACCCAAAGCACUUCGCUUACACCGAACCUACGCCCGUUAAAACCGGACUAUUCUUACUAAG